RNAcentral lists this ribosomal RNA (253 nucleotides) under uncultured bacterium. RNAcentral's name for it is "partial 16S ribosomal RNA". It matches the Rfam family "Bacterial small subunit ribosomal RNA", at positions 524 to 776 of the family's 1533-position model. The record is from RNAcentral. RNAcentral also lists the same sequence under 1 other name.
UACGUAGGUGGCAAGCGUUGUCCGGAUUUAUUGGGUUUAAAGGGUGCGUAGGCGGUCUUCUAAGUCAGUUGUGAAAUACUUCAGCUUAACUGGAGAGGUGCAAUUGAUACUGGAAGACUUGAGUACUGAUGAGGUAGGCGGAAUGGACGGUGUAGCGGUGAAAUGCUUAGAUAUCGUCCAGAACACCGAUAGCGAAGGCAGCUUACUAAGGAGUAACUGACGCUGAGGCACGAAAGUGUGGGGAUCAAACAGG